Cyprinus carpio carpio is the source of this 1550-nucleotide long non-coding RNA. Lineage: Eukaryota; Metazoa; Chordata; Actinopteri; Cypriniformes; Cyprinidae. The record is from Ensembl.
GUUAUUCAGCGGCCCUUCACCUGCUUUGAUGAAAUAAGGCAAUUACUGCGAGACAAGAACGAGAAGUGCAGGGGACGGCAGUCAGGCGUUUACUUAAAGUGGAGUUUCUACUUCAAAGAGCCGGAGGAGCCGCAGCGGAGCGAGAACCAGAUACAGAGAAGAGAGGAGAGGAGAGCUCACCACCUCAUCAGAAACACAUCUGAUAUUCCUCUCACCCUAAUCCUCACACACAGCCCGCCAUUAGCCCCCACACACACACACAGAAACACACACACCUACAUCAGUGAAGGGUCUCUCCGGCCCAGGACAGUGUGUGAGUUGUGUGUGUAAGGAGUCAAAGAGGAUUGUGGAACUUGGCAGGAUUAGGUGAUCCUGGGAAGAAACUUUCCACGGCUCUCCAAAGCCAGAGAAUGUCAUGGGAAUUGUCUCUAAACACAAGUGCUGACCCCCCUCUUGACACACACACACACACACACACACUUACACUCAUAGCCACAUAUCACCACGGCAUGAACUCACUGCAUUAACAUAAAUAGAAUGAGAACUGAGAACAGCAGAGCACAACAAAAGAGCCACUGUGAGAGAGAGAAAGAAAGAGAGAGAGAGAGAGAGGGAGGAUGUGUGGAAGUGUAGAGUACAGCGCCAUCUACAGGAGACAUCAGCUCAUGUAGAAAGAGAGACUUGGGCACAUCAGAAAACACCAUUGAAGAUCAUUAACAAAAACUGCAAUCAAAUAAAAGAGUUUUACUCUGAAGAAAAAAAAAAAAAAAUUCUGUAAAACCCUGUACAAGAACAUGUCCAUUAUUCAGCACCGAAUCCCCAAAUCAAAGUACUGUGGUAUCAUGUACAUUACAGUUCUUGUUUGACAGAUAUCAAUAAACAGUUAUAAUUACACACUAAUAUAGUGGAUAUAUAAUUUAUUGGAUGCUAACUGGUCAUAAAAUAUUCCAAUUGUGCUAAAACACAUUCUUCACAGCAUCCAUCGAUAUAAAUUAUUAAACUUAGUUUACAUGAAUAGAUCUACAGUACUAGUAAAACUACAGAAAACUACAUUUUAAUCAAAUAAUGCUAUAUUUUUUAUUCAAUAACCAUUAUAUACUAUAAAACCAAUCUGGUAUUUGAGGUCAUGUUAUUUUGUGAAUAUAGUCACUCUGUGUAUUUUUACAAUGUAAUUCAUAUUAUAACACAACCUUGUAUGCUUUUGCUUUUAUACAUCUUUCUAUAGCUGCAACUUCUCUGUUUCUCUUUCUCUUUAAAAAAAAAACCUCAAAAAAAGACACAAAGACUCUGCAUGCACAUGUUGCAUAACCAGUUCUUUAACUUUAUCAAAUAUUUUAUAUGAAAAUGAAUUUGUGUAACUUAAGUCUGGUAAAUUUUCACCAUUUUUAAUCAGCUUUUGCCUUUAGUAGUUCAAUUGAAAUGAUCCUGCAGUGUGACAAAUGAAUUUGUUUUGCAUGUAUUCGCUCAAUUAAUAUAAAAGCGGCAUAUUACUUAUAAAAGAGUGAGCUAAAUGCAGUUUAAAAUAGUUCUGGAUGCAGUAUAGCACGUCA